CCUACGGGUGGCAGCAGUGGGGAAUAUUGGACAAUGGGCGAAAGCCUGAUCCAGCCAUGCCGCGUGUGUGAAGAAGGCCUUCGGGUUGUAAAGCACUUUCAGUGGGGAAGAAAGCCUUGGGGCUAAUACCCUCGAGGAAGGACAUCACCCACAGAAGAAGCACCGGCUAACUCCGUGCCAGCAGCCGCGGUAAUACGGAGGGUGCGAGCGUUAAUCGGAAUUACUGGGCGUAAAGCGCGCGUAGGCGGUCUGAUAAGUCGGUUGUGAAAGCCCCGGGCUCAACCUGGGAACGGCAUCCGGAACUGUCAGGCUAGAGUGCAGGAGAGGAAGGUAGAAUUCCCGGUGUAGCGGUGAAAUGCGUAGAGAUCGGGAGGAAUACCAGUGGCGAAGGCGGCCUUCUGGACUGACACUGACGCUGAGGUGCGAAAGCGUGGGUAGCAAACAGGAUUAGAUACCCCGGUAGUC
This 465-nucleotide ribosomal RNA is filed under the name Vreelandella stevensii. RNAcentral describes it as "partial 16S ribosomal RNA". It matches the Rfam family "Bacterial small subunit ribosomal RNA", at positions 338 to 795 of the family's 1533-position model. The record is from RNAcentral. Lineage: Bacteria; Pseudomonadati; Pseudomonadota; Gammaproteobacteria; Oceanospirillales; Halomonadaceae.